AUCUGAUUCUUAUUUUUUCUUUUAUUGUACUUACUUUGGAUAUAAUUUACUCUUCCUUUUGUAGUUUUCUAAGGUGGAAGCUUACAUUAUUUGUUUUAGGUCUUUUUAAUAUAUUAAUUUAUUACUGUAAAUCUUCCACUGAGCACUGCAUUCAGUGCAUCCCACAAAUUCUAAAUAAUUGCAUUUUAACUUUCAUUCAUUUAGUUCCAGAUACUUAACAUUAUUUUGAGAUGGCUGCUUGGACCCAUGUGUUCUUUAACAAUGUAUUACUUAAUCUCUUAAGUAUUUAAGAAUUUUUUUGCAAUCUUUCUAUUAUUGAUUUCUAAUUUAAGAACAUUAUGGUCUGAGUUUAUAUAUUAUAUUAUUUCUAUUCUUUCAAAUUAAUUCAGGUGUGUUUUUUGGCCUAGAAUUUACUCUAUCUUGGUGAAUAAUAGUUUCCAUGUCAGCUUGAGAAGAAUUUGCAAUUUUCCAUUGCUGGAUGAAGUAGUUUCUAGAUGUCAAUUAUGCUCAGUUUAUUAGUAGUGUUGUUCAGUUUCAUUAUGCCAUACUUAAUCUGUGACUGCUGAAUCUGUCCAUUUCUGAGAUGGAGGGACAUUUCAGGCUACAAUUUUGGACUGUUUCUUCUGCUUCCAGGCUGAAGGGUAUUGCUAAGGAAAUGCCGAGGAACAAUAAAAAAUGUUAAAUCUUGAAACCAUCUGGGUUCUUUCUGAAAGUUUGAAAUUUGAAUUUAGGUAAGUCAAAAUGAAAAAGUCUAGGAUGCUCUUGUGUUGCUAAGCAACAUUGCUAAUCUGAGAUCCUAUAAUCCAAUGCCAUGAAAAAUUUUUGUCCACAAUAAAUGUGCCCCCAAAGCAAGUGAGUCAGCAUCAGCUAUUUAAAGAGUUUGUAGGGAACUCAUAAAAGUCUCCAGUGAAGGUGAAGUUAUCAUCAGGCUAUUUUGACUGUUUUUUGCAAUGCAAACUCUUAUACCUUCACUCACUGAUCCCCAAAUCACAUAGUCAAGGAGAUAAAAUGUAUCCUGUUCCAUGCUGUAAAAGUAUUAAAAAUAAAAGGAGAGCAACACCUCAAUUUGCAAACUAGGGGUCCAUACCUUCAUGAACAGGACAGAAGUCCAUGAUUAGAGUCUAUGAAAUGGAAAGUUGAUGUCUCAUCUGGAUCACCUUAUCAGACUGAAGACUGAAGAGCAAGAACAGGAUGAGAAAGCAUGCCCAUGCUCUUAUUCCUGGAAAUGUUCCAUUUAAAUUCAAUUUUUUUUUUUUUUUUUUUUUUUGCUUUUGGUCCCAAAGAACUGGUUUGAAAUGGAAUUUAUUGAAGAUUUAUUGAAGAACUUUCUACUCUCUAUUUAAUGAGUCUGGUCUAAGUGAAAUUUCUGAGAAUUAUAAGAAAAUGAUUCAAAAUAGUAACUGGACUUCUUCUCCAACUAUGAAGAUAUAUGUUUCUUUAAAAGCCAAAAAUCUUUGACUUGAUUUUCUAUAGGGUUAAGAAGAAGGAUUGAUGGUGACAAAUGACACAGCAGAAAUUUCUCUUCUCAGAUAAAGCACCUGGCAAGAUUGAGAAGCUUAACAUGGAUAAUGAUAUUUACAUCUACACAUUUUACUACCUUCCUGAGCUAUUCUUAAAUGAAGAUAUCAGAAUCUGUCAAGAAUUGGCCUGACAGUUGUGAUAAGAUUUAAACGAAGUAGGGAAGGUCUGUUAAGUACUAUAAUUAAAUUAAGCAUGAAAAAUACUUUUGGAUUUUAGAGUUUAAGAAGAGUAGAAAUUAGAAGUUUAUUAAAGGACAGCAGAAAAGACUUCUCCCGGAGGAAGAAGGGGACCCAAGAGGUGGAAUCCUUCCCUCUGUUUUUGUAGAAGAAUUUUGUUUUACUUUGUAAUGAUCAAAAAUAUCAAAUGAGUCUAGAAAAUUUGAAAACAUCAGAAAUAUUUAUGAAAAAUAAAGGUUCUUUAUGGCAAAAAUGUAAAUGGAUAUUUUCCUUCUGGUUUUUAACUCUAUCAUUAUAAAAUAUCCUUCUUUUUCUCUA
Marmota monax (woodchuck) is the source of this 2015-nucleotide long non-coding RNA. RefSeq lists it as uncharacterized. The record is from RefSeq and is a predicted model, not a curated record. The transcript is spliced from 4 exons. Lineage: Eukaryota; Metazoa; Chordata; Mammalia; Rodentia; Sciuridae.